Molecule: ribosomal RNA, 416 nt
Filed under: uncultured eukaryote
Lineage: Eukaryota
Description: SSU rRNA
Rfam family: Eukaryotic small subunit ribosomal RNA
Source: RNAcentral
CAAUAGCGUAUAUUAAAGUUGUUGCGGUUAAAACGCUCGUAGUUGGAGAUCUGUCGAAAAUGCUGGUCCGCCCUCGUGGUGUGCACGUGGUAAGUUUUGACAUCAUCUUGGGGAACUUGUAUGCACUUUACUGUGUGACUUGAGAUCCAGGACUUUUACUUUGAGGAAAUGAGAGUGUUUCAAGCAGGCGGAAGCCCUGAAUACGUUAGCAUGGAAUAAUAGCAUCGGACCUCUUUCCAAAGCUGUUGGUUCAUUGGAAUGAGGUAAUGGUAAACAGGGAUAGUUGGGGGGCAUUCGUAUUUAACUGUCAGAGGUGAAAUUCUUGGAUUUGUUAAAGACGAACUACUGCGAAAGCAUCUGCCAAGGAUGUUUUCAUUGAUCAAGAACGAAAGUUAGGGGAUCGAAGAUGAUCAGAU